AUAGUGAAACGCAGCCGCGCACUUUUUGCGUACCCUCCCGCGCCGACCUCUACUCGUCCGCCUUUCCCCACCAAGUCAACGCAAGCGAGCUAACUAGGUUUUUUUUUCAACGCAAGCGAGCUAGCUCGUCGCCCCUUUGUGCGGUACCUCUCGAGCGGCGGGUGUUAGUGGCAGGUCCACUUCAAGCGGCCGGCUUGGUAAGGCCACCUUGAGGGCUGUAGGCGGAGGUGGCGCCUCGACUUCGAGGAGGAUGUCGGCGAUUGGUUGCAAGAGGGGGCGCCGGUCUUUGAGUAGACGUUUCCUUUUCAAGAACGGCUGCGGCGCUCAGACUCGAGCUACGUCCACCCCCUGCCUAGGUUCCAGUACGAGUAGCGAAGCGUCCCAGAAGUAGUUCCCCUUCCGGGGUAGUGAUUCUUAUCGUCACCAGAACGUGGUUCACGUUUUUCUUGGAGUUUACAAUUCCUAUUAGUUUGUGAUUUUGGCCUCUAAUAGUCGUUUUCGGCUCGCCUCGCAACCUUUUAUUGUCCACAGUAACGAAAUAGACCAAGGUCGAACUUCCGACACGGACUCCUUCAGACCCUGACACCGAGGAGGUAUGCUCAUGAUCUACAGACAUUGUUGAGUUAACUUCGUUAAGGUGUCUUUUAACGACGUCAAUUUAGUAAUUUAUUUAACAACGAUUGGCGGUUACUGUAUAGACUACCCCCGUAGUCGACCCUUCCAGAUAGUACACAACUAUGUAAUUGUCAAAAUAGAAAUUCGGUUUUAGCUAACCAGUGAAAUGGAGGCUCAAACCCGUGUAACUGAAAAGAUGCACUUGAAGCGUAACGUUUAUUGUACGAACCGUCGGAUGGACAACUUUAUCCAAACGACUUCGUCGAUCUCUAAGAAUAUCGUUUAUUAUUAUCCUAUUGAAGCGACGGAAGGAGAUAUCCGCUGACACUUAGAGAGAAGCUCCACCUGAAUAGUAGCUUAGAAAAUCGGCUUGAUGGUUUCCGAACGCCUUUGGAAGUGUUAGACUUCCGAGACGUAGAUUCCUUGUUACCAGAAUUAAGGGAUGGCGGCUGAAAUAAGUUCUUCACGACCGCCGAAUGAUGUGAACUAGAGGUACCGUGACCUUAAUGUUUACUGUAAGAAGCUGUCGACCUCCCGACCCUCCUCAAACUACUUGCAUCCGCCGUCUUCAUAGUUUUCGUCGACCUAAAAGUACAUCCUAGUAGUCCACAAAAGCUGCUCCCACGCCUACUACUAUUGGCCGUACGUAUUAACAGAAAGAAUAAUGUCUGUCCCAAAACGCGAAGGUUAUAACAGGGUCUUAAUAAGAUCUUAACUUGAACUUGUCUGUGCCUCGACUAUAAUAAGGAGUGUAAAACCAGCACAUAAACAAAUAAGGAUAGUAAAGUAAUGUAAAAUUAUGGUUCACUACUUUUCACCACCGAUGGACAAUUUGUAAUAGUCUCGUAAACGUAGGGGUCGUAAGUAUUGAAUAGUUCUUGAAGGUUCUAAAAAAAUCUUUGUGAUACUAACGGAUACGCAACGUUGGCCCUAAUCUUAAAAAGAUCAUGACAUUGGACACAAAUAGACGGGUAUAAUUGGACUAACACAUUUUUUAUAAUAAAAUAAACCAUUCGUGAAUAACCGAAUACUUUCUUUUAUAUAAAAACAAACCAUUCAAUUAUUAUCCACCUACGUCAAUUCCGUCAAAGUCCUUUUAAAUACAUUUUUUGAACUCUACUCUGUUUUUCUUAGUUUUGCCCUCUCACUCCCCUCUUACCUACAUUCCAACCUGCUUCGUAUUCGCCUGCUGUCUUGGGUUUAUAAAAAAUCCAUUUACAAACCCUUGCCACGCGACCGACUUUGAACCGGCCAGCGUGGAGCGAGCGAGCCCUUUGGUGCUGUGUCUAGGUGUGGGCGAGCACUGCCCUUCUUUGUGUUCUUCGGUACAGGUAACACUCUGGGUGUGUGCUAGAUAGGGGUGGAAUAGAGAAGGAGGAGGAGAGAGAGAAGGAGUUAGGGGAAAAAAGACAAAGUAGGGCUAGGACUUAUGGAGCGGCGGCAAACAUGGAGGACUGCUCGAGAAUAGGUACCGCUCCCCUCCCCCGCCCACACUACAAAACAACCCGCUGCCAUCCCGCGCGUGACGCUCGUCUACCGCCCCCACCACCAGGUUUCCGUGACCUGCUGCCGCGUAGUGCUCGUGCUCACCGCCGUGCCGGCCGUUGACGUUCGAUACACCGGCGGCCGCACCUAACCGAGCCGCCACGACGUUGGCGUCAAGGCGUCUCGACGUUGGCACCAGCCUCUUUCGACCUUGGUGCCAGAUCGCCUCGACGUUCCAAGGAUGUACGACCACUCCCCCACGAUGUUGGUACCUACUCUUUUCGACCUUCGCAACAGGCCGCCUCGAUGUUGGUCUAGGCCACCUCGACGCUCAAAAAAACAUCCUGUUGUCUACGUUCGGCUGCUCGGCCUCCGUUACUGCAUCUAGUCCCCCUACGACGUUGGUACCGCUUAGCACUCGACCUUAAUUGGCCCCCUCCCCUAAUCUCGACGUUAGACAGCCACUGGCGCGCGAUCCCCUAGGUGACCGCCGACAAUACGUUAGGGGUUCUCGCCGGGGCCGCUCGCGCGGCUGCUAGCCGAGCCGCUCGACGAUCGCGCUCCGGGCCCGCCAAGUACCUCAACACGAAACAUGCGCUCGCUCCUCCCCUAAAAAAAAAGAUCUAGACUGCCAGUGCACACAGACAUAGGUUGCGAUCCCGCGACUGGCCGACUUUUAAAGCCGCGCGCGGAUCGUCACGGAAGAAAAAAUUGCGCUAUAUUCUCUUGGUGCGUCUCGUUUAGAACUACAUUUUUACCUUUUUUAUUUUAUCUUAAUAGAAAACCAAUAUUUUAUAUGUAAGACAGUAAUAAAUUUGACUGUUUUUAUCUACACGGGUAACUAGAAAAACUGGUCAAAUGGUUUCUAUUCUCUAGAUUUG
RNAcentral lists this ribosomal RNA (2981 nucleotides) under Triticum aestivum (bread wheat). Its description in RNAcentral is "partial small subunit ribosomal RNA". The record is from RNAcentral. Lineage: Eukaryota; Viridiplantae; Streptophyta; Magnoliopsida; Poales; Poaceae.